Molecule: ribosomal RNA, 445 nt
Filed under: uncultured bacterium
Lineage: Bacteria
Description: bacterial SSU rRNA
Rfam family: Bacterial small subunit ribosomal RNA
Source: RNAcentral
GUGAGGAAUAUUGGACAAUGGUCGGAAGACUGAUCCAGCCAUGCCGCGUGCAGGACGACGGCCUUAUGGGUUGUAAACUGCUUUUGCAGGGGAAGAAUAAGGAGUACGUGUACUUUGAUGACGGUACUCUGCGAAUAAGCAUCGGCUAACUCCGUGCCAGCAGCCGCGGUAAUACGGAGGAUGCGAGCGUUAUCCGGAAUCAUUGGGUUUAAAGGGUCCGUAGGCGGGCUAAUAAGUCAGAGGUGAAAGCACUGAGCUCAACUGAGUAACUGCCUUUGAAACUGUUGGUCUUGAAUAGUUGUGAAGUAGCUGGAAUGUGUAGUGUAGCGGUGAAAUGCAUAGAUAUUACACAGAACACCGAUUGCGAAGGCAUGUUACUAACAACCGAUUGACGCUGAUGGACGAAAGCGUGGGGAGCGAACAGGAUUAGAAACCCUAGUAGUCC